UACGUAGGGUGCGAGCGUUAAUCGGAAUUACUGGGCGUAAAGCGUGCGCAGGCGGUGAUGUAAGACAGAUGUGAAAUCCCAGGGCUUAAACUUGGAACUGCAUUUGUGACUGCAUCGCUGGAGUGCGGCAGAGGGGGAUGGAAUUCCGCGUGUAGCAGUGAAAUGCGUAGAUAUGCGGAGGAACACCGAUGGCGACGGCACUCCCCUGGGCCUGCACUGACGCUCAUGCACGAAAGCGUGGGGAGCAAACAGG
Molecule: ribosomal RNA, 253 nt
Filed under: uncultured bacterium
Lineage: Bacteria
Description: partial 16S ribosomal RNA
Rfam family: Bacterial small subunit ribosomal RNA
Source: RNAcentral